RNAcentral lists this long non-coding RNA (215 nucleotides) under Elaeis guineensis (African oil palm). Its description in RNAcentral is "long non-coding RNA (EGUI_LNC061663)". Lineage: Eukaryota; Viridiplantae; Streptophyta; Magnoliopsida; Arecales; Arecaceae. The record is from RNAcentral.
UAGAGUAAGUGGCGCACAGGUGGAUAAGGUGGCGCAUGAGAUUAGUUGCCCAUUCAAAUUCAAACUUCAUUUGAAUAUGAAUGGCCAACCAACCAUCUUUAUCCACUCAAAAUGGUGCACAAAGGAGGGGCAUAGGAAGGCUUCUACGUGAGAGAAAAUUCAUGAGAACUUGUUUCUCGUGAAUUCAAAUAGGCACAGGUGAGGUGAGGUGGCGC